UCCCAGUCCCCGGGUGCUGGCGACAAAAGGCUGCGAUUCCUUAGAUACAGACCCGCGCCAAGGACCCAACUUCUCAAGAGAGGUGUUUCAGCUGCGUGGCUGGGAAACCGAGAGUCACAAAACUGAGGUGCCACUCAGCCAAGUCCGCUCCAAAGCCCCACGGGUCGGUCACCGCCUCCGACAGGGAAGGAAAUGUGUGAGAGAAAACCAUAGCCCAGGAAAGGAGAACUGUUGUCAGUCUUCAAGGAUGCAAAGUCUAGGGCAAGAAGGACAUGUGUCCCUGACACACUGGCAAAAGCAGCUACAAUACAACGGUAGGAAAAAGGGAUGCUGAAGCAACAUAAGACUAAAGAGCUCAACUUCUACUACAGACAAGCUCAGAUACAUGCCACGUUGCUGCGCGUCAAGUCUGGACAUGGGCCUCUGACGGAAUACAUUGUGCUCUGGGAUUAUAGAGUGCCAAGCCCUUUCCGGUUUUCCUCUAACAGCACAGCCACGGGGGAACUAGUAAAAUUAGCAGCCCAAAGAAGCAAUUUGCUUGGGUCUUUUUCCAUUUUUUUCUCUUGCAAUUGAUACCACUCUUCGUGUUUUUCCUCUUGGUCCUCAUCUUCAUCAGAAUCGCCUACCCAGAGACUCUGAGUACCAGUGGGAAUCAGGUGUCCAUCGGUCUCCAACAAUUCAAGCUGAUUAAACUGUUCAGAAAAGUCCAAAGAGUUUUCUGGGUCUGGUUUUUCAUCAUCCCUUACUUUUUCUUUUUCCAUUUUUGCUACUAUUCUAAAUAAAAAGCAUUUCAAGCA
Long non-coding RNA from Mesocricetus auratus (golden hamster), 797 nucleotides. RefSeq lists it as uncharacterized. The record is from RefSeq and is a predicted model, not a curated record. The transcript is spliced from 4 exons. Lineage: Eukaryota; Metazoa; Chordata; Mammalia; Rodentia; Cricetidae.